RNAcentral lists this ribosomal RNA (762 nucleotides) under uncultured soil bacterium. RNAcentral's name for it is "bacterial SSU rRNA". It matches the Rfam family "Bacterial small subunit ribosomal RNA", at positions 28 to 768 of the family's 1533-position model. The record is from RNAcentral.
AUUGAACGCUGGCGGCGUGCCUCAGACAUGCAAGUCGAACGCGAAAGUCCCCUUCGGGGGACAAGUAGAGUGGCGCACGGGUGAGUAACACGUAGGUAAUCUACCUUCGGAUGGGGAAUAACAACCGGAAACGGUUGCUAAUACCGCAUAAUGCAGCGGCACCUAAUGGUGACAGUUGUUAAAGCGGGGGAUCGAAAGACCUCGCGUCUGAAGAGGAGCCUGCGGCGGAUUAGCUAGUUGGUAAGGUAACGGCUUACCAAGGCGACGAUCCGUAGCCGGCCUGAGAGGGCGGUCGGCCACACUGACACUGACAUACGGGUCAGACUCCUACGGGAGGCAGCAGUCGGGAAUUUUGGGCAAUGGGCGAAAGCCUGACCCAGCAACGCCGCGUGAAGGAUGAAAUCCCUCGGGAUGUAAACUUCGCAAGAACGGGAAGAAUAAGUAGGGGACAAUACCCCCUAUGAUGACGGUACCGUUUGUAAGCUCCGGCUAACUCCGUGCCAGCAGCCGCGGUAAUACGGGGGGAGCAAGCGUUGUUCGGAUUUACUGGGCGUAAAGGGCGCGUAGGCGGCCAGCACAAGUCAGUUGUGAAAUCUCCGAGCUUAACUCGGAAAGGUCAACUGAUACUGUGCGGCUAGAGUGCGGAAGGGGCAACUGGAAUUCUUGGUGUAGCGGUGGAAUGCGUAGAUAUCAAGAGGAACACCUGCGGCGAAGGCGGGUUGCUGGGCCGACACUGACGCUGAGGCGCGAAAGCGUGGGGAG